UAGGAGGACUUGGGGAUAUCCAGGAAGCUGAAAAAGAAUGCAAAAUUUACUGGAGCUACUUAAGAAAAUACCAACUUUUAAGAUCUCCAGUUGUGUACCAGUCUUUGGGAAUGGUUGUUGUCAACAUAUUUACAAGGCCAUUCUGUGGCUUCAUGAAAUGACAACCUAGGGAAAUCCUAUGGACAUACAUAUUGGAAUCAGUGUAGAGAAGUACUCCCUUGUACUGCAGAAGGUAAUGUGAAUGUGAAAGAAACAGAA
Molecule: long non-coding RNA, 258 nt
Organism: Cavia porcellus (domestic guinea pig)
Lineage: Eukaryota; Metazoa; Chordata; Mammalia; Rodentia; Caviidae
Exons: 3
Source: RefSeq, a predicted model, not a curated record